GGUUAAGUGACUAAGCGUACACGGUGGAUGCCUUGGCAGUCAGAGGCGAUGAAGGACGUAUUAACUUGCGAUAAGCCCAGAUUAGGUAGUAAAAACCAUUUGAGUCUGGGAUUUCCGAAUGGGGAAACCCACUAGCAUAAGCUAGUAUCGCUGCGUGAAUACAUAGCGCAGCGAGGCGAACCGGGGGAACUGAAACAUCUAAGUACCCCGAGGAAAAGAAAUCAACCGAGAUUCCGAAAGUAGCGGCGAGCGAAAUUGGACUAGCCCUUAAGCUUUUUAUGCGUCAGGUGAAACUUCUGGAAAGUUGUGCGAUACAGGGUGAUAGCCCCGUAACCGGCAACGCAUAUAAAGUGAAAUCGAGUAGGGCGGGACACGUGAUAUCCUGUCUGAAUAUGGGGGGACCAUCCUCCAAGGCUAAAUACUACUGACUGACCGAUAGUGAACCAGUACCGUGAGGGAAAGGCGAAAAGAACCCCUGUGAGGGGAGUGAAAUAGAACCUGAAACCGUGUACGUACAAGCAGUAGGAGCACCUUCGUGGUGUGACUGCGUACCUUUUGUAUAAUGGGUCAGCGACUUAUAUUCAGUGGCAAGGUUAACCAUCUAGGGGAGCCGUAGGGAAACCGAGUCUUAACUGGGCGUUCAGUCUCUGGAUAUAGACCCGAAACCAGGUGAUCUAGCCAUGGGCAGGUUGAAGGUUGAGUAACAUCAACUGGAGGACCGAACCGACUAAUGUUGAAAAAUUAGCGGAUGACUUGUGGCUAGGGGUGAAAGGCCAAUCAAACCUGGAGAUAGCUGGUUCUCCCCGAAAGCUAUUUAGGUAGCGCCUCGGACGAAUACUACUGGGGGUAGAGCACUGUUAAGGCUAGGGGGUCAUCCCGACUUACCAACCCUUUGCAAACUCCGAAUACCAGUAAGUACUAUCCGGGAGACACACGGCGGGUGCUAACGUCCGUCGUGGAGAGGGAAACAACCCAGACCGCCAGCUAAGGUCCCAAAUUACUACUAAGUGGGAAACGAUGUGGGAAGGCUCAGACAGCCAGGAUGUUGGCUUAGAAGCAGCCAUCAUUUAAAGAAAGCGUAAUAGCUCACUGGUCGAGUCGGCCUGCGCGGAAGAUGUAACGGGGCUAAGUAGUAAACCGAAGCUGCGGCAAUGCACUUUAGUGCAUUGGGUAGGGGAGCGUUCUGUAAGCGGUUGAAGGUGUGUGGUAACGCAUGCUGGACGUAUCAGAAGUGCGAAUGCUGACAUGAGUAACGAUAAAGGGGGUGAAAAACCUCCUCGCCGGAAGACCAAGGGUUCCUGUCCAACGUUAAUCGGGGCAGGGUAAGUCGACCCCUAAGGCGAGGCCGAAAGGCGUAGUCGAUGGGAAACGGGUUAAUAUUCCCGUACUUCUUACAAUUGCGAUGGGGGGACGGAGAAGGCUAGGUGGGCCUGGCGACGGUUGUCCAGGUUCAAGUGCGUAGGCUUAAGAGUUAGGUAAAUCCGGCUCUUUUUAAGGCUGAGACACGACGUCGAGCUACUACGGUAGUGAAGUCAUUGAUGCCAUGCUUCCAGGAAAAGCCUCUAAGCUUCAGAUUGUAAGGAAUCGUACCCCAAACCGACACAGGUGGUCGGGUAGAGAAUACCAAGGCGCUUGAGAGAACUCGGGUGAAGGAACUAGGCAAAAUGGUACCGUAACUUCGGGAGAAGGUACGCUCUCGACGGUGAAGUCCCUCGCGGAUGGAGCUAUUGAGAGUCGCAGAUACCAGGUGGCUGCAACUGUUUAUUAAAAACACAGCACUGUGCAAAAUCGUAAGAUGACGUAUACGGUGUGACGCCUGCCCGGUGCCGGAAGGUUAAUUGAUGGGGUUAGACUUCGGUCGAAGCUCUUGAUCGAAGCCCCGGUAAACGGCGGCCGUAACUAUAACGGUCCUAAGGUAGCGAAAUUCCUUGUCGGGUAAGUUCCGACCUGCACGAAUGGCGUAAUGAUGGCCACGCUGUCUCCACCCGAGACUCAGUGAAAUUGAAAUCGCUGUGAAGAUGCAGUGUACCCGCGGCUAGACGGAAAGACCCCGUGAACCUUUACUACAGCUUGGCACUGAACAUUGACCCUACAUGUGUAGGAUAGGUGGGAGGCUUUGAAGCACAGUCGCUAGAUUGUGUGGAGCCGUCCUUGAAAUACCACCCUUGUAGUGUUGAUGUUCUAACGUUGACCCCUAAUCGGGGUUGCGGACAGUGCCUGGUGGGUAGUUUGACUGGGGCGGUCUCCUCCCAAAGCGUAACGGAGGAGCACGAAGGUGGGCUAAUCACGGUUGGACAUCGUGAGGUUAGUGCAAUGGCAUAAGCCCGCUUGACUGCGAGAAUGACGGUUCGAGCAGGUGCGAAAGCAGGUCAUAGUGAUCCGGUGGUUCUGAAUGGAAGGGCCAUCGCUCAACGGAUAAAAGGUACUCCGGGGAUAACAGGCUGAUACCGCCCAAGAGUUCAUAUCGACGGCGGUGUUUGGCACCUCGAUGUCGGCUCAUCACAUCCUGGGGCUGAAGUCGGUCCCAAGGGUAUGGCUGUUCGCCAUUUAAAGUGGUACGCGAGCUGGGUUUAGAACGUCGUGAGACAGUUCGGUCCCUAUCUGCCGUGGGCGUUGGAAGAUUGAAGGGGGCUGCUCCUAGUACGAGAGGACCGGAGUGGACGAACCUCUGGUGUUCGGGUUGUGUCGCCAGACGCAUUGCCCGGUAGCUAAGUUCGGAAUCGAUAACCGCUGAAAGCAUCUAAGCGGGAAGCGAGCCCUGAGAUGAGUCUUCCCUGAUACUUUAAGUAUCCUAAAGGGUUGUUCGAGACUAGAACGUUGAUAGGCAGGGUGUGUAAGCGUUGUGAGGCGUUGAGCUAACCUGUACUAAUUGCCCGUGAGGCUUAACCAU
RNAcentral lists this ribosomal RNA (2890 nucleotides) under Vibrio harveyi. Its description in RNAcentral is "23S ribosomal RNA". It matches the Rfam family "Bacterial large subunit ribosomal RNA". RNAcentral also lists the same sequence under 1 other name. The record is from RNAcentral. Lineage: Bacteria; Pseudomonadati; Pseudomonadota; Gammaproteobacteria; Vibrionales; Vibrionaceae.